CCUACGGGGGGCAGCAGUAGGGAAUCUUUCACAAUGGGCGAAAGCCUGAUGGAGCAACGCCGCGUGCAGGAUGAAGGCCUUCGGGUUGUAAACUGCUUUUAUAAGCGAGAAAUAUGAUGGUAACUUAUGAAUAAGGAUCGGCUAACUACGUGCCAGCAGCCGCGGUCAUACGUAGGAUCCGAGCAUUAUCCGGGGUGACUGGGUGUAAAGAGUUGCGUAGGUGGCAUAAUAAGUAGCUAGUGAAAUCUGGUGGCUCAACCAUUCAGACUAUUAGCUAAACUGUUAAGCUCGAGACCGUUAGGGGUAACUGGAAUUUCUAGUGUAGGAGUGAAAUGCGUAGAUAUUAGAAGGAACACCAAUAGCGUAGGCAGGUUACUGGGACGGUUCUGACACUAAGGCACGAAAGCGUAGGGAGCAAACGGGAUUAGAUACCCGAGUAGUC
RNAcentral lists this ribosomal RNA (442 nucleotides) under uncultured bacterium. Its description in RNAcentral is "partial 16S ribosomal RNA". It matches the Rfam family "Bacterial small subunit ribosomal RNA", at positions 338 to 795 of the family's 1533-position model. The record is from RNAcentral.